UUGCUCUCGGGUGACGAGUGGCGGACGGGUGAGUAAUGUCUGGGAAACUGCCUGAUGGAGGGGGAUAACUACUGGAAACGGUAGCUAAUACCGCAUAACGUCGCAAGACCAAAGAGGGGGACCUUCGGGCCUCUUGCCAUCAGAUGUGCCCAGAUGGGAUUAGCUAGUAGGUGGGGUAACGGCUCACCUAGGCGACGAUCCCUAGCUGGUCUGAGAGGAUGACCAGCCACACUGGAACUGAGACACGGUCCAGACUCCUACGGGAGGCAGCAGUGGGGAAUAUUGCACAAUGGGCGCAAGCCUGAUGCAGCCAUGCCGCGUGUAUGAAGAAGGCCUUCGGGUUGUAAAGUACUUUCAGCGGGGAGGAAGGUGUUGAGGUUAAUAACCUCAGCGAUUGACGUUACCCGCAGAAGAAGCACCGGCUAACUCCGUGCCAGCAGCCGCGGUAAUACGGAGGGUGCAAGCGUUAAUCGGAAUUACUGGGCGUAAAGCGCACGCAGGCGGUCUGUCAAGUCGGAUGUGAAAUCCCCGGGCUCAACCUGGGAACUGCAUUCGAAACUGGCAGGCUAGAGUCUUGUAGAGGGGGGUAGAAUUCCAGGUGUAGCGGUGAAAUGCGUAGAGAUCUGGAGGAAUACCGGUGGCGAAGGCGGCCCCCUGGACAAAGACUGACGCUCAGGUGCGAAAGCGUGGGGGAGCA
This 697-nucleotide ribosomal RNA is filed under the name Klebsiella sp. RNAcentral describes it as "bacterial SSU rRNA". It matches the Rfam family "Bacterial small subunit ribosomal RNA", at positions 72 to 770 of the family's 1533-position model. The record is from RNAcentral. Lineage: Bacteria; Pseudomonadati; Pseudomonadota; Gammaproteobacteria; Enterobacterales; Enterobacteriaceae.